RNAcentral lists this ribosomal RNA (497 nucleotides) under uncultured bacterium. RNAcentral's name for it is "partial 16S ribosomal RNA". It matches the Rfam family "Bacterial small subunit ribosomal RNA", at positions 28 to 507 of the family's 1533-position model. The record is from RNAcentral.
GAUGAACGCUGGCGGCGUGCCUAAUACAUGCAAGUCGAGCGAACAGACGAGGAGCUUGCUCCUCUGACGUUAGCGGUGGACGGGUGAGUAACACGUGGAUAACCUACCUAUAAGACUGGGAUAACUUCGGGAAACCGGAGCUAAUACCGGAUAAUAUAUUGAACCGCAUGGUUCAAUAGUGAAAGACGGUUUUGCUGUCACUUAUAGAUGGAUCCGCGCCGCAUUAGCUAGUUGGUAAGGUAACGGCUUACCAAGGCAACGAUGCGUAGCCGACCUGAGAGGGUGAUCGGCCACACUGGAACUGGGACACGGUCCAGACUCCUACGGGAGGCAGCAGUAGGGAAUCUUCCGCAAUGGGCGAAAGCCUGACGGAGCAACGCCGCGUGAGUGAUGAAGGUCUUCGGAUCGUAAAACUCUGUUAUUAGGGAAGAACAAAUGUGUAAGUAACUAUGCACGUCUUGACGGUACCUAAUCAGAAAGCCACGGCUAACUACGUG